This 425-nucleotide ribosomal RNA is filed under the name uncultured rumen bacterium. RNAcentral describes it as "bacterial SSU rRNA". It matches the Rfam family "Bacterial small subunit ribosomal RNA", at positions 354 to 776 of the family's 1533-position model. The record is from RNAcentral.
GUGAGGAAUAUUGGUCAAUGGACGGGAGUCUGAACCAGCCAAGUAGCGUGCAGGACGACGGCCCUAUGGGUUGUAAACUGCUUUUAUACGGGGAUAAAGUGAGGGACGUGUCCCUUUUUGUAGGUACCGUAUGAAUAAGGACCGGCUAAUUCCGUGCCAGCAGCCGCGGUAAUACGGAAGGUCCGGGCGUUAUCCGGAUUUAUUGGGUUUAAAGGGAGCGCAGGCGGGAGCUUAAGCGUGACGUGAAAUGUAGCCGCUCAACGGCUGAGUUGCGUCGCGAACUGGGUUUCUUGAGUGAGUACGACGCGGACGGAAUUCGUGGUGUAGCGGUGAAAUGCUUAGAUAUCACGAAGAACCCCGAUUGCGAAGGCAGUCCGCGAGUCCUUUACUGACGCUAAAGCUCGAAGGUGCGGGUAUCGAACAGG